This 522-nucleotide ribosomal RNA is filed under the name uncultured bacterium. RNAcentral describes it as "partial 16S ribosomal RNA". It matches the Rfam family "Bacterial small subunit ribosomal RNA", at positions 355 to 871 of the family's 1533-position model. The record is from RNAcentral.
UGGGGAAUUUUGGACAAUGGGGGAAACCCUGAUCCAGCCAUCCCGCGUGUGCGAUGAAGGCCUUCGGGUUGUAAAGCACUUUUGGCAGGAAAGAAACGUCGCGGGUUAAUACCCCGCGAAACUGACGGUACCUGCAGAAUAAGCACCGGCUAACUACGUGCCAGCAGCCGCGGUAAUACGUAGGGUGCAAGCGUUAAUCGGAAUUACUGGGCGUAAAGCGUGCGCAGGCGGUUCGGAAAGAAAGAUGUGAAAUCCCAGAGCUUAACUUUGGAACUGCAUUUUUAACUACCGGGCUAGAGUGUGUCAGAGGGAGGUGGAAUUCCGCGUGUAGCAGUGAAAUGCGUAGAUAUGCGGAGGAACACCGAUGGCGAAGGCAGCCUCCUGGGAUAACACUGACGCUCAUGCACGAAAGCGUGGGGAGCAAACAGGAUUAGAUACCCUGGUAGUCCACGCCCUAAACGAUGUCAACUAGCUGUUGGGGCCUUCGGCCUUGGUAGCGCAGCUAACGCGUGAAGUUGACCG